This is a non-coding RNA of Clonostachys solani, 72 nucleotides long. NCBI's taxonomy places the organism in Eukaryota, Fungi, Ascomycota, Sordariomycetes, Hypocreales, Bionectriaceae. The record is from the annotation of a GenBank genome assembly.
GGUGUGCUGGCGCAAUGGUAGCGCGUAAGCCUCCUAAGCUUAAGGUUCUGGGUUCGAGUCCCAGGUACAUCG